RNAcentral lists this ribosomal RNA (440 nucleotides) under uncultured bacterium. Its description in RNAcentral is "partial 16S ribosomal RNA". It matches the Rfam family "Bacterial small subunit ribosomal RNA", at positions 338 to 795 of the family's 1533-position model. The record is from RNAcentral.
CCUACGGGGGGCAGCAGUGGGGAAUAUUGCACAAUGGGGGAAACCCUGAUGCAGCGACGCCGCGUGAGUGAAGAAGUAUUUCGGUAUGUAAAGCUCUAUCAGCAGGGAAGAAAAUGACGGUACCUGACUAAGAAGCCCCGGCUAACUACGUGCCAGCAGCCGCGGUAAUACGUAGGGGGCAAGCGUUAUCCGGAGUUACUGGGUGUAAAGGGAGCGUAGACGGCAGAGCAAGUCUGAAGUGAAAGCCCGGGGCCCAACGGCGGGACUGCUUUGGAAACUGCCCGGCUAGAGUGCUGGAGAGGUAAGCGGAAUUCCUAGUGUAGCGGUGAAAUGCGUAGAUAUUAGGAGGAACACCAGUGGCGAAGGCGGCUUACUGGACAGUAACUGACGUUGAGGCUCGAAAGCGUGGGGAGCAAACAGGAUUAGAUACCCGUGUAGUC